UACGUAGGGGGCAAGCGUUAUCCGGAUUUACUGGGUGUAAAGGGAGCGUAGACGGCAGCGCAAGUCCGGAGUGAAAUGCCGGGGCCCAACCCCGGAACUGCUUUGGAAACUGUGCAGCUCGAGUGCAGGAGAGGUAAGCGGAAUUCCUAGUGUAGCGGUGAAAUGCGUAGAUAUUAGGAGGAACACCAGUGGCGAAGGCGGCUUACUGGACUGUAACUGACGUUGAGGCUCGAAAGCGUGGGGAGCAAACAGG
Molecule: ribosomal RNA, 253 nt
Filed under: uncultured bacterium
Lineage: Bacteria
Description: partial 16S ribosomal RNA
Rfam family: Bacterial small subunit ribosomal RNA
Source: RNAcentral